RNAcentral lists this transfer RNA (70 nucleotides) under Formica fusca. RNAcentral describes it as "tRNA-Gly". The record is from RNAcentral. Lineage: Eukaryota; Metazoa; Arthropoda; Insecta; Hymenoptera; Formicidae. RNAcentral also lists the same sequence under 1 other name.
AUUUAUAUAGUAUAUAUAAAAUUACAUUUAAUUUCCAAUUAAAAAAAUUAACUUUAUCUUAAUAUAAAUA